AUCACUUCUCGGCCUUUUGGCUAAGAUCAAGUGUAGUAUCUGUUCUUAUCAGUUUAAAACUUGUUGGAAAAACACAUCUACCUCAUUACAAAGCUUGAUCAUACCAUUUAUAUCUAAACUCUUGGUUUUACUUCUUAGGGCAGCCCUACAUGCUGAAUUCGCAUUUUCAAGAGCAAGUUGUUGGACUAACA
Non-coding RNA from Mus caroli (Ryukyu mouse), 191 nucleotides. The record is from RefSeq and is a predicted model, not a curated record. Lineage: Eukaryota; Metazoa; Chordata; Mammalia; Rodentia; Muridae.